UACAGAGACCUCAAGCGUUAUCCGGAAUCAUUGGGCGUAAAGCGUACCGAUAGGUGGUUUUGAAAGUUUUGGGUAAAAGCCAGAAGCUCAACUUCUGAGUUUGCUCAAAAUACUGCAAGACUAGAGGGGCAAAGAGGUGCUUGGAACGAACGGUGUAGUAGUGAAAUGCGUUGAUAUCGUUCGGAACACCAAAAGCGAAGGCAGAGCACUGGGUGCGACCUGACACUGCUAGGACGAAAGCGUGGGGAGCGAAUGGG
Molecule: ribosomal RNA, 257 nt
Filed under: uncultured bacterium
Lineage: Bacteria
Description: partial 16S ribosomal RNA
Rfam family: Bacterial small subunit ribosomal RNA
Source: RNAcentral